RNAcentral lists this transfer RNA (71 nucleotides) under Ovis aries (sheep). It matches the Rfam family "tRNA". From Rfam's summary of the family: Transfer RNA (tRNA) molecules are approximately 80 nucleotides in length. Their secondary structure includes four short double-helical elements and three loops (D, anti-codon, and T loops). The record is from Rfam by way of RNAcentral. Lineage: Eukaryota; Metazoa; Chordata; Mammalia; Artiodactyla; Bovidae.
UCCUGGUGGCUUAGAUGGUAAAGAAUCUGCCCGCAAAGCAGAAAACAUGGGUUCAAUCCAUGAAUCAGGAA